GAUGAAGAACGUAGCGAAAUGCGAUAAGUAAUGUGAAUUGCAGAAUUCAGUGAAUCAUCGAAUCUUUGAACGCACAUUGCGCCCCCUGGUAUUCCGGGGGGCAUGCCUGUUCGAGCGUCAUUUCAUCACUCAAGCCUCGCUUGGUAUUGGGCAACGCGGUCCGCCGCGUGCCUCAAAUCGACCGGCUGGGUCUUCUGUCCCCUAAGCGUUGUGGAAACUAUUCGCUAAAGGGUGUUCGGGAGGCUACGCCGUAAAACAACCCCAUUUCUAAGGUUGACCUCGGAUCAGGUAGGGAUACCCGCUGAACUUAAGCAUAUCAAUAAGCGGAGGA
RNAcentral lists this unclassified non-coding RNA (331 nucleotides) under soil metagenome. RNAcentral describes it as "partial contains 5.8S ribosomal RNA, internal transcribed spacer 2, and large subunit ribosomal RNA". The stretch from base 1 to 120 matches the Rfam family "5.8S ribosomal RNA", at positions 35 to 154 of the family's 154-position model. The record is from RNAcentral.